Molecule: ribosomal RNA, 603 nt
Filed under: Dynamena crisioides
Lineage: Eukaryota; Metazoa; Cnidaria; Hydrozoa; Leptothecata; Sertulariidae
Description: partial large subunit ribosomal RNA
Rfam family: Bacterial large subunit ribosomal RNA
Source: RNAcentral
CCAAAAACAUAGCCCUAGAACUUAUUUAAGGUGUGACCUGCCCAAUGAUUUUCAAGUACAACAAAUAAAAAUUGUGAAAGAAAAUUAAAAGGACGCGGUAACCUUGACCGUGAUAAUGUAGCAUAAUCAUUCGCCAUUUAAUUGAUGGAUAGUAUGAAUGGUUAAACGAAUAUUUCACUGUCUCAAGAAGAAGUAACAAAAAAUUAGAAUAAUAGUAAAGAUACUAUUUAAGAUUGUAAGACGAAAAGACCCUAUAGAGCUUAACUAUAAUUUCUCUUUAAUAAAAGAAAACAAUUCUAAAAAUAGAGAGAUUGGUAGUUUAGUUGGGGCGACUGUCUUUUAAAAAAAACAAAGACAAGCAAAGUAAAUAAAAAAAAACUUAUUGUAUAAUACAUGGAUUUAACAAUUAUAAAAAUAGGCUAUAAUGACCCGUUAACACCAAAUAAUAGGAGUAACGAUCAAUAAAUAAAAGCUACCUUAGGGAUAACAGGAUAAUUUUAUUUUAGAGAUCUAAUCGAAAAUAAAGUUUGUCACCUCUAUGUUGAAUUAAGAUAUCCCGAUAAUGCAGAAGUUAUCAACGGUAGGUCUGUUCGACCUUUAAAA